This is a long non-coding RNA of Dreissena polymorpha, 1122 nucleotides long. RefSeq lists it as uncharacterized. The record is from RefSeq and is a predicted model, not a curated record. The transcript has 2 exons. Lineage: Eukaryota; Metazoa; Mollusca; Bivalvia; Myida; Dreissenidae.
GGGUUCCGCUGUCGAUCGCCAUUGGCGCCAAAUGGCGCUAAAUUUUUAAAUGUGGCUCCAAUUUUUUUAAAGUGGCGAAUUUCAAAAAAUCGGUAAAACCCUAUCCGAAAAUGUACUGCGAGUCGAAAGCACGCGACCGAGCAUCAGCGGCCAGCGUCUGUCAGUUGUAAAUAUUGAUUUACGAUGAUGUAAGCGACCUACAGUGCAGAGUGCAUUAGAAAUCACCGAAGCGUGCAACUAGAAUGGAUUGUGGCAAUUAUCUGGGCCUUUCUGUCAGGAAAAAGGCGUGAACAACAGUCAUUUAAUUGAACCUGGAAAUCAUCCACCACUAACAGAAAACUUGUUAACAACAGAAGCUGAUGUAUAUCAUGUCCAAAUGACCAAAUACAACUGUUAAACAAUUUGAAGUGAGAUGCUUUAUUUUCUGAUUCCCUUUCAAAUGAUGAACAUUGGUGUGAUUUGAUGUUUAAAUGAUUACUUUCGAAACAUUUAUGCAGCAUACUGUUUAAUACAUUGAUGUUAACAUUAUUAUAUUAUUUUGGUUAUCCGUGUUGUUUAUCAAGUUGAAAAAAAUGUUAUUUAUAUACAAAUAAAGCUUAUUAAGACUUAUAAAGGUAUGACUUAUGAAGGUACUUAUUGUUUUCUUUAUGAAAUAACAUACUUUUUAAAGUGAUAAUAUAGUAAAUGACAAUAAUGUAGUAAGGUUUCUUAAAAUGAUUGUUCUUAUUGAUAAGGUGGAAUAACUGACAGUAUUCACGCCGCGAAAAAGUGGCGACAACUUUUUUUGGGCCAGUGGAACCCCUGCAUAUAUAUGACCUUUGACCUUCAAGGAUGACCUUGAACUUGACCUUUCACCACUCAAAAUCAGUGCUCAAACUGGCCUUCAGAAAAUAGUAGCCAUCAUUUUUUCCUUAAAAAUAUAACAGCCAAAACAGACGCGGACUUUUCCGCAAAAAGGUACUGAAGGCACAAAGAAAAAACAAUGAAUCUCAUUUUAUCUAUGUUUUAUUAAAUGUAUAUCUAUUGGAUUUAAGUUAUAAUAUAUGCUUAAAAACAAGCAUAAUAUCAGUGUCAUUUCCUUAUAAAAAAUUUUCAUGGCUUUACAAUAAAGAAUAAAAUCAA